Molecule: long non-coding RNA, 3846 nt
Organism: Astatotilapia calliptera (eastern happy)
Lineage: Eukaryota; Metazoa; Chordata; Actinopteri; Cichliformes; Cichlidae
Source: Ensembl
GUAAAGGAACUGUGAAUGCACAAGAGAGGUGAAGAAGAGAGUGCAGGCAUGGUGGAAUGGGUGGAGGCAAGUCUCCGACUGAUUUGUGAAAGAAUGGUAACAGCAAGAGUGAAAGGGGAAUGAGACCUGCUAUGAUGCAUGGUUCGGAGACAGGCACUGUUAGAUUUGUAUUGUUGAUUGUCAUUUAUGCUUAGAAACAUUUACCCACAUAUGCUUAGAAGUGUAUAACCAUUUGUAGAUUGAAAGAAUGUCUCAUCCUAGGAGGUCUGUAACAGCUCUGUGUAGCAUGAAGGGGGAGUGCGUUCACUCCCUCUACAGAGUGUUCCGGCGUAGAUCACACCUCCUAGGAGAGGUCGUAUCUUUUCUUAUUGAUUUAUGGUAUAGCAAGCACACGUAUAUCUGUUUACAUAUAAGAGCCUUUUGUUCAGAUGGACCGCUAGACUCCUGGCACCAGCUUUGGGGAGUCUUCACAGGGUCACAUCUGGACACCACACACACACACACACACACACACACACACACACACACACACACACACAGUAUUCUUUGUUCACAUGUAUACCUAUGUAAGAUGUCAUAUGUUAAUGACCCUAUGCAUAUUCAUGUAACCACAAUAAAAGGAGUGCUAUGGGGAGCCUGGCUGAGAGUCUGACGGAGGUCAAGUGGUGGAACGACACUCGGCUCCAGCCAGCUUUCCCUCAUGCAUGAGUAAAACCAGCCUGCUUGUGUCUUGCUUUGCAGUGUAACUAUAUUGUCUUCAACGUUCCAGCGGAUAGGUACAAGCUACAAACCUAUCAUUAAUUGGUCCUUCGAGCCGGAUCCCUGGAGUCGACAUUCACCGGGGGGAGAAGAGGCACGCGGAAAGACUGACGUCAGCCAGGAGGUUCCUGUGGAUUCGCUGUCUGUCCUUUCUCCUCGAUGAAUGGCGAUCGGCGGGAUUCGAGGCUGAUAUUACACGCUAAGCAACACCAACUAAGUUUAGAGUCCAACUCUAUAACUGUACGUCUUCGCCGCUCAGUGGGGCGUUGUCCGUGGCCGCUCAGUGGGGCUAAAAUUCGCCAUCUAAGUGGGGCGAUGUACAAAGCCGCUCAGUGGGGUUUUUUGUACAGAAGCAUUAAGUCGCAGAGUUGCGCAGUUCGAACUUUUUUUUGUUCGCCGUCUUAGUGGGGCGAAAUACAGACCGCUGUGUGGGGUACUGUAGUGAGUUCUCCACCGCUCAGUGGGGUGUUGAGAAGUUCCGCGGGGUCCAGAUUGUGCUGGACAAUAGGCCUAUUUUGUGUUGUUGUCAUUGUCGUCGUCGUUGUUGUUGUUGUUGUGUGUGCGGAGCAGAACAUGUGGUCUGUGACACCGACUGUUGUUGUUAUCAUGGGUUUCUAAGCAACCAAGAGUGAGUCGGAGGGAGAUAGAUGUUUGUGCUGGACUUUGCUCCUGGCAGCACAAAGUAUUUAUGUAAAAAAGAGAGAGAGCGACGGCUUCACAGCUGCGCGGGUUCACGCGAGCGCGGUCACGCGGACCUGAGCCGUGCGGUUAAUCGCAGGCUUAUAAAUGGAAGAGAUUCAAAUGUUAGAAGUUUUCAGAAAACACACCAGCCUUGGAGAGCUGUGGAGAAGGCCAGCCCACAUCAGCAGCACUUAAGAUAUGCUCUGGUGAAUGGCUUUCCCCCCACCCCUUGCUGACACAAUGUUUAUUCUUUAGCUUGCCCUGAUCGACAGCAGCCUGUGUGCCAGACCAUAGAUUUAAUUGAGGUGGAUAGUUGUUAAAAGUAAUCUACAUUAAGCUUGUGGUUGCUUAAAUUCAGUACAAUGACAUGUGAGGUGAAGUGAUAUAGGUAAAUAUUUAAACUAAUGAAGUGCAUAGAGGCACUUGACCUGUGUGAAAGACUGUCGUCUUGUUAUGAGCCAUUGUUGAGAUAUGGAGCACACCUGUGAAAACAACUAAUAUGCUGAACCCUGUAUGAAACAUCUAAAAGUACAUGAUGGAGGAGCUGUGUUGAAUAUGAACAACACAGCUCUGUGGGCAGAGCAUGCAACUACUGUGUGAUGUCGCGUUGCAGUUUCUUUUUCUGAGCUGAUGAGCAAGCUACACAUUAUCAGAUCAAGAGCUGUCUGGGAACUACUCAAAGAGGGGGAAACAGGGAGUGUGCAGCGUUUCCGUGAGCAGUUUUCCUGCAUCUUGACUUGUGUGUAGAGUGUUCAUAACAUCAGCAUCAUGUUUUUGUUUAUUUGUUUUGUUGGGUCGAAAAUAAUUAAAUAAACGUGUGAUCAUGCUUAUGGAUUACCAUGGCACAUAUCACCAGCCACGUGAUUUAUUUAUGCAGAUGAAAAAGUGAGUGUGAAUGUGUCUGACAUCACAGUGUUUUUGUGCACUGUGCAAAAGUAAUUGCCUUUGAUUGUGAGUGAGAGCGGUGAUUCUGCAGGUCACCAGCUAUUGUAACGGGGAAAAAAAAAAGAGUGAAAAAGAGACAAAAAUUACAUUGUAGACGAAGAAAAAUAAUCAUGGGAAAAAGGUUUCGUGUUGAUCAGCCGAAAAACAACUACAAUGUCAUUUUAUGCUUUUAAGAAAGGAUUGUUCACACAAACACACACACAGAGAGAGAGAGAUGUGUGUUGAUUAAGCAGCGAUGAUAAUAAUGAAAUGUCUUAGUUUGUCACUUUCAGGUGAAAAGCAGACCUGAAUCAAUUUUCCACAUGCAGCGGUCGGAAGAAAGUUAUAGUUUAACAUCAUUGGAAACGUGCAGGCCAAGUUUCUGGCUGACUUAUUACAGCGCAAUGUGUAUGUGUCUCUCAACCUCACAAGCAAGUGCUCACUCCUCCCUGAAGACAAGGAAUGCAGCUCCAAAGAGCAAUAACAUGGCAGAUAAAGACAGCAGCAAGUCCUGAGCAAAGAGUCCCAGCAAAGCAGCAGCAAUGUGGACAAACAGCAUCAAAGAAGAAGAGCAAACCCAUCAUCCUGACUGAUCGGAUGGAUGGCACUGUGUCUACAACAAGCUGAAACUUCACUGUGCAUGUGAAGAAAACGUUUGAGGAGAACUGAACAGUUGGAGUUUGACAUUUGCCACCUGUGGAGUAAAAUGGCAAGAAGAGACAGUGGAACACAGGACAAAGCUGAAGGAGAACUGCCGGGACUGUUGAAGUGGGAGAGGACAAAAGAGUGAGAGGACAGAGUGAGAAGACUAGGUGAGAACACAUAGGAAUUAUUUAAUGUGGGAAAUCAAAAUUUGGGUUAGCAAACCUGGGGAAAAAGAAAACUGACUGCUUAAGUUGGAAAAUUGUGAAGGAGUCUGAAACAUAUACAAACAUAUACAAAAUCACACAGAACAUGCCUUAACCCUACUAAUACAAACACAAAAUAACUCAUGAAGAUUAGACAUUUUAAGCGUGAGUCUGUUUAUCAUCUUGUCCAAGUCACCUCGUGUGAUGCAAAGACCAGUGGAACUCAUAGCACAGAACAUGCUCUGUUGGAGAUGCAGCUCCACAGACAUGCUUGUUAUCUUUCAUCAGUGUUAAAAUAGUGUCAAUUUAGCAGACACUUGUUAUCAAAUACUGAAUUUAUCCAAUAAAAAAAAUUGACUCUCUAGGUUGCAGGACAACAGUUUAACUUUUGUGGGGAAAAAGAUCCUGGUUUGACCAACCAGUGAUCAGACAAUAAAUUUAGUUAUUAAUAUAGUAAAUUGGGAGAAGCUUCCUGCUUGAUUGAUGCAGCACAAGUAAUUUACUGUAUGAGGGAAAUUCUCUUUUAGUGAUAACAUUUUGAACAUGCAUUUCUGUCGUCCUGUCAACUUAGUGGGUUAAUAGCUGAUAUGCAAAUUAGUUGAUUGGUUUUUAGAUUAAUGAAAGGUGACUGAAU